UACGUAGGUGUCAAGCGUUGUCCGGAUUUAUUGGGCGUAAAGCGCCCGCAGGCGGCUUGCCAAGUUCGAUGUGAAAUCUCCCGGCUCAACUGGGAGGGUGCAUCGAAAACUGGCAGGCUUGAGGCAGGGAGAGGGAUGUGGAAUUCCAGGUGUAGUGGUGAAAUGCGUAGAUAUCUGGAGGAACACCGAUGGCGAAGGCAGCCCCCUGGGCUAACACUGACGCUCAUGCACGAAAGCGUGGGGAGCAAACAGG
RNAcentral lists this ribosomal RNA (253 nucleotides) under uncultured bacterium. RNAcentral describes it as "partial 16S ribosomal RNA". It matches the Rfam family "Bacterial small subunit ribosomal RNA", at positions 524 to 776 of the family's 1533-position model. The record is from RNAcentral.